GACGAACGCUGGCGGCGUGCUUAACACAUGCAAGUCGAACGGAAAGGCCCUGCUUUUGUGGGGUGCUCGAGUGGCGAACGGGUGAGUAACACGUGAGUAACCUGCCCUUGACUUUGGGAUAACUUCAGGAAACUGGGGCUAAUACCGGCUAGGAGCUCCUGCUGCAUGGUGGGGGUUGGAAAGUUUCGGCGGUUGGGGAUGGACUUGGGGCUUAGCAGCUUGUUGGUGGGGUAGAGGCUUACCAAGGCGUUGACGGGUAGCCGGCCUGAGAGGAUGAUCGGUAACAGGGGAACGGAGACACGGUGCAGACUCAUACGGGAGGGAGCAGUGGGGAAUAGGGGACAAGGGGCGAAAGCCGGAUCCAGCCAUGCCGCGUGUGGGAAGAAGGUCUUCGGAUUGUAAAGCACUUUAAGUUGGGAGGAAGGGCAGUAAGUUAAUACCUUGCUGGUUUGACGUUACCAACAGAAUAAGCACCGGCUAACUUCGUG
RNAcentral lists this ribosomal RNA (488 nucleotides) under uncultured bacterium. Its description in RNAcentral is "partial 16S ribosomal RNA". It matches the Rfam family "Bacterial small subunit ribosomal RNA", at positions 28 to 507 of the family's 1533-position model. The record is from RNAcentral.